AAGCUAUGAAGGAUAUUUAAAGACAAGCAAGAGAUUAAAUGUACCCACAUUUUUUUCCUGGCAGCCUAAGCCCUAUGCUUUGCUUGUCAUUCACCUCUUGUGAAUGCUAUGAAAAGGAAUGACACAGAGUAGAAAUCUAGUCACAUGACCUGCCUUGCCUCCCCUUCAUUCUAAGGGCUCCUGUAAAUGUCAUUUACAUUAAAGUUCUGUGCUUGGGCCUGCAGGUUCCAUUUUGGCGUUGCAGGAUACUAGAAGCCUUGCAUUCCUGAAAUGAUUUUUGGCUUAACUUGGAUGUAUUGCAGUUUGGAGCGGGACAACCUACCUACACAUGGAUUACUUUUUGUCUUGGGUGAGACUUUUUUUCUUAUGGAACCGAAUAUUACUUAUUGUUAUCAGUUCAUAACUUUCAGACAUUUCACAACCUCUGUAAUUUAAGUCUUUGUUUUCAUUUUCUCCACAUUCUGUUUCUGAAAUUCUAAAUGGAAGAAUUUUUAAACAACAUUU
This 504-nucleotide long non-coding RNA is filed under the name Oryctolagus cuniculus (rabbit). RNAcentral's name for it is "lncRNA (ENSOCUG00000034770.1)". The record is from RNAcentral. Lineage: Eukaryota; Metazoa; Chordata; Mammalia; Lagomorpha; Leporidae.